CGUACCCUUCUCUGCGGAAUAGCCUCGGGAAACUGAGAGUAAUACCGCAUACGCCCUUCGGGGGAAAGAUUCAUCGGGGAAGGAUCGGCCCGCGUUAGAUUAGGUAGUUGGUGGGGUAAUGGCCUACCAAGCCUACGAUCUAUAGCUGGUUUGAGAGGAUGAUCAGCCACACUGGGACUGAGACACGGCCCAAACUCCUACGGGAGGCAGCAGUGGGGAAUCUUAGACAAUGGGGGCAACCCUGAUCUAGCCAUGCCGCGUGAGUGACGAAGGUCUUAGGAUCGUAAAGCUCUUUCGCUGGGGAAGAUAAUGACUGUACCCAGUAAAGAAGUCCCGGCUAACUCCGUGCCAGCAGCCGCGGUAAUACGGAGGGGACUAGCGUUGUUCGGAAUUACUGGGCGUAAAGCGCGCGUAGGCGGAUUAGUCAGUCAGAGGUGAAAUCCCAGGGCUCAACCCUGGACUGCCCUUUGAUACUGCUAGUCUUGAGGUUCCA
RNAcentral lists this ribosomal RNA (493 nucleotides) under uncultured bacterium. RNAcentral describes it as "bacterial SSU rRNA". It matches the Rfam family "Bacterial small subunit ribosomal RNA", at positions 125 to 652 of the family's 1533-position model. The record is from RNAcentral.